This is a long non-coding RNA of Asterias rubens (European starfish), 1033 nucleotides long. RefSeq lists it as uncharacterized. The transcript has 4 exons. The record is from RefSeq and is a predicted model, not a curated record. Lineage: Eukaryota; Metazoa; Echinodermata; Asteroidea; Forcipulatida; Asteriidae.
ACUCUAUCCAAUCAGUGGUGGACAAUGCACGUGAGCGCUACAUGCUUCACCAAAUUUCCUACAACAUUCCUUGUAAAUGUGUUUCCUUUAAGUGGCGUAUUGGGCACCUGUUAAGUCAAUUAGCAGUAAACAUCAGUGUUUUUUUAAUAUAUUUUUAGUCGGAGGUGGUGGCAAUGGUGAUGAACAGGUACACAAACAACUGAAAAAAAGAUAUCAACAUUCUCAUUCAGGAUUACUUGGCUGGGGGAAAACCCUAAAUAUGCAACUCCAGUCAAUUACACAUAGUACAGGUGGUCCACUAUGCAAAUGCACAGUGUGUACCUGCAUCGCCAAAGAGCAGCAACAGUACUGGGACUAGGAAUCGAUGUGGUGAGAUAUCAGGACUGUGGCAGGUGUGGUGAGAUUUCAACAAAAUUGGCUGACCAGAGGAUGGAUGUCACUGACAGAGCCCAAGUUGGCGGCAGAGCGGGCAGGCAGGCCUUGCACUUCGCUCUCUAACUAAGAAGGGGCACAGCAAGUUCAGAGACACCCUCUAUGAGAGCACCACAACAAAAGCACAGGGAAUUGCUGUUGGUGCUGUGGGAUAUUUUGAGGCCUGCCAAGGGUUAUCAUCAGCAAGCGUUAACAACAGCAAUCAAUGAGUGUUUGUAAAGGUCUAGUUUGAAAAGCACUGGCCCAUGAUGAUGAUUGCUCAACACUGUCUAGAGCCAGUAGGUUUGCAUUAACACCUGCUGUAUAGUUUGACCUUUGACACCAACCAUUCAUGCAAACUGUAGGCAUGAACUGUGAAUACUUUUGUGUGUUUUCAAACUGAAACUUGUGGUCUUCGAGUGCUUUAUGCUACCAAUGUGAAUGAGGUAUUGAAAUGCAUUUAGGCCUAGAUAUCAGACCAAUCCAAAGGGCAUUAUAAUACAAUAGAUCUUUUGCACUCGGUUGGUGCCUAAUGGAAGUUCUACCUCCAUUAGUAAUACAGGUAAAUUCACACGUGUAAAUACAGUACACUUUCUUUAGCUUAACACUACAGAAUGGAACA